AUUGAACGCUGGCGGCAGGCCUAACACAUGCAAGUCGAACGCGUGGCGGACGGGUGUGUAAUGUCUGGGAAACUGCCUGAUGGAGGGGGAAAAAUACUGGAAACGGUAUCUAAUCCCGCAUAACAUCAGACAUGCCCAGAUGGGUUUAGCUUGUGGGUGGGGUAAUGGCUCAACAAGGCGACGAUCCCUAGCUGGUCUGAGAGGAUGACCAGCCACACUGGGACGGAGACACGGUCCAGACUCCUACGGGAGGCAGCAGUGGGGAAUAUUGCACAAUGGGCGCAAGCCUGAUACAGCCAUGCCGCGUGUAUGAAGAAGGCCUUCGGGUUGUAAAGUACUUUCAGCGGGGAGGCGUUACCCACAGAAGAAGCACCGGCUAACUCCGUGCCAGCCGCCGCGGUAAUUC
This 406-nucleotide ribosomal RNA is filed under the name uncultured bacterium. RNAcentral describes it as "partial 16S ribosomal RNA". It matches the Rfam family "Bacterial small subunit ribosomal RNA", at positions 30 to 526 of the family's 1533-position model. The record is from RNAcentral.